GAUGAACGCUGGCGGCGUGCCUAAUACAUGCAAGUCGAGCGAACGGACGAGAAGCUUGCUUCUCUGAUGUUAGCAGCGGACGGGUGAGUAACACGUGGAUAACCUACCUAUAAGACUGGGAUAACUUCGGGAAACCGGAGCUAAUACCGGAUAAUAUUUUGAACCGCAUGGUUCAAAAGUGAAAGACGGUCUUGCUGUCACUUAUAGAUGGAUCCGCGCUGCAUUAGCUAGUUGGUAAGGUAACGGCUUACCAAGGCAACGAUGCAUAGCCGACCUGAGAGGGUGAUCGGCCACACUGGAACUGAGACACGGUCCAGACUCCUACGGGAGGCAGCAGUAGGGAAUCUACCGCAAUGGGCGAAAGCCUGACGGAGCAACGCCGCGUGAGUGAUGAAGGUCUUCGGAUCGUAAAACUCUGUUAUUAGUGAAGAACAUAUGUGUAAGUAACUGUGCACAUCUUGACGGUACCUAAUCAGAAAGCCACGGCUAACUACGU
Molecule: ribosomal RNA, 496 nt
Filed under: uncultured bacterium
Lineage: Bacteria
Description: partial 16S ribosomal RNA
Rfam family: Bacterial small subunit ribosomal RNA
Source: RNAcentral